GUCUGUAGCCUGAACUUGCCUGAUCUCAGAAGCUAAACAAGGUUGGACCUGGUUAGUACUUGGAUGGGAGACGACUGGGAAUACCAGGUGCCACAGUGG
This 99-nucleotide ribosomal RNA is filed under the name Periophthalmus magnuspinnatus. Lineage: Eukaryota; Metazoa; Chordata; Actinopteri; Gobiiformes; Gobiidae. The record is from RNAcentral.